Nemania sp. FL0031 is the source of this 88-nucleotide non-coding RNA. NCBI's taxonomy places the organism in Eukaryota, Fungi, Ascomycota, Sordariomycetes, Xylariales, Xylariaceae. The record is from the annotation of a GenBank genome assembly.
ACCGAAUUGGUGUAGGGGUUAACAUGUGGGAUUCUCAGUCUUAAUGAUGAAGUUUCCCGAGCCAGGAGUUCGAGUCUCCUAUUCGGUG